GCAGCAGCGAGGACGGCGACGAGGGCGGCGGCGUGGGCGGGAGCUUACGGUCCGGCCACUUGCGCUUGAAGAAAUCUACCAUCGCCGCCAAGUUUACAGUCGUUGAUUUAGGUCUCAUUGGACCCGCAAAUAAUUUUGUCAACUGAAUAGCCAAAUCAUCUUCCAAAGGUAGCCCAAAAUCUCUCAGUGCUCUCAGAAAUGGUCUAGUAUCCAUCGGCUUCGGGUCCAAUUUGUAUAGUAUAUCUUGGCGGCUCUUAACUUCGCGCGAGUCGUUGCGCAGAAUACAUAGGUACAGCGGGGCGUAGCGGGAUGCGGGUGAAGGAUACUGCGCAGUGCGCCUAUGAUAAUGGACCGCAAGGUAGCGCCCAGUUCCGGAGGUCGUUCGUGGCGGGGUGUUACGCGGGGAGGAAGGGCGUGGGAAGUAGGCGCUUGCACUUUCGUUACAUCGGUCGCCGCUACGUCUGCUAACUAGCUGAUAUUCAGUAAUCAUGCCUCAGUAAUGAUCUUAACAAGCAAGGAGAAAGUCUAGAACAAGAGACCUGCAACUUUAUCUAAGGAGUACAUGACAUGUUUC
Papilio machaon (common yellow swallowtail) is the source of this 574-nucleotide long non-coding RNA. RefSeq lists it as uncharacterized. The record is from RefSeq and is a predicted model, not a curated record. NCBI's taxonomy places the organism in Eukaryota, Metazoa, Arthropoda, Insecta, Lepidoptera, Papilionidae. The transcript has 3 exons.